GAGAAGAUCCCAAUACAAUCCACACACACAAUGUUCUCUACAUCUCUACUGCUCCUGCUGGCAGCUGCUUCCUAUGUGCAUGGUGUUGAACUGACUCAGCCUGCUUCCAUGACAGUCCAGCCAGGCCAGAGUCUCUCCAUCAACUGCAAGGUUUCAUAUUCAGUUACCAGCUAUGGUACAGCUUGGAUCCGACAACCUGCAGGAAAAGCUCUGGAGUGGAUUGGAUACAUCUAUAGCGGUGGUAGUACAUAUUACAGUGACAAACUGAAAAAUAAGUUCAGCAUCUCCAGAGACACUGCUACUAACACAAUAACAAUUCGAGGACAGAAUCUGCAAACUGAAGACACAGCUGUGUAUUACUGUGCAAGAUACACAGUGACACAGAAUAGUGGAUUCUCCUUACAAAAACUUUGA
Non-coding RNA from Ictalurus punctatus (channel catfish), 414 nucleotides. NCBI's taxonomy places the organism in Eukaryota, Metazoa, Chordata, Actinopteri, Siluriformes, Ictaluridae. The record is from the annotation of a RefSeq genome assembly.